CUGAAUCCUGAAUAGGAAUUGAAAUUUGUUAAAUUCCGCUGUGCAUGUUUAAAUCAAUUCCAAUACCAGUUCCACCAUACUACAAAAUAAAAUACAAUGGAAAUUCCAUUAGAGAAAUUUACAAGUAAGAUUGGAGGACAUCGAUUUCUUGAGAGAUUAACAUGUUUGGCUAAACAUUAAAAAGAAAAAGAUUCUGUAGUGAAAAUCCAAGAAGUGACUUUUCUUAAAAACCUCAAACAUGUUUGAUGAAGAACGCUUCUUAAUCAUAACUUAUAAGCUUAGCCAAACAUGCAAGGAGGGAGAAAUAAACGUACUUGGGAGAACCAGAACCAAAUGAUGACGUGUUGUGAACGAAUAUAUUUUGGUGGUCAUGAACCAUAAUGAAACCACUCUCUGGUUGCGCAUUUGUCUCCGGUGAACCAUGAAAGCCAGCAACUGAGUUAUUUCCAGGGGAGAUUCCUGAGUGAGCACAUAAUGCAACACCAUGGUCAGGAAAUCAAGGCAGUAAAAUUCAUAAACCAACGUAAUGAACCCCUUUUAAUUAAUCCACUAAAGUUAUAGAGGAAGAAA
This 570-nucleotide long non-coding RNA is filed under the name Olea europaea (common olive). Its description in RNAcentral is "long non-coding RNA (OEUR_LNC012246)". The record is from RNAcentral. Lineage: Eukaryota; Viridiplantae; Streptophyta; Magnoliopsida; Lamiales; Oleaceae.